CCUACGGGGGGCUGCAGUGAGGAAUAUUGGUCAAUGGGCGAGAGCCUGAACCAGCCAAGUAGCGUGCAGGAUGACGGCCCUAUGGGUUGUAAACUGCUUUUAUACAGGAAUAAAGUUAGCCACGUGUGGUUAUUUGUAGGUACUGUAUGAAUAAGGACCGGCUAAUUCCGUGCCAGCAGCCGCGGUAAUACGGAAGGUCCAGGCGUUAUCCGGAUUUAUUGGGUUUAAAGGGAGCGUAGGCCGUCUGUUAAGCGUGUUGUGAAAUGUAGAUGCUCAACAUCUGAAUUGCAGCGCGAACUGGCAGACUUGAGUGUGCGCAACGUAGGCGGAAUUCGUGGUGUAGCGGUGAAAUGCUUAGAUAUCACGAAGAACUCCAAUUGCGAAGGCAGCUUACGGGAGCACAACUGACGCUGAAGCUCGAAAGUGCGGGUAUCGAACAGGAUUAGAUACCCUUGUAGUC
This 460-nucleotide ribosomal RNA is filed under the name uncultured Prevotella sp. Its description in RNAcentral is "bacterial SSU rRNA". It matches the Rfam family "Bacterial small subunit ribosomal RNA", at positions 338 to 795 of the family's 1533-position model. Lineage: Bacteria; Pseudomonadati; Bacteroidota; Bacteroidia; Bacteroidales; Prevotellaceae. The record is from RNAcentral.